GUCGAGCGGAUCGAUGGGAGCUGGCUCCCUGAGAUCAGCGGCGGACGGGUGAGUAACACGUGGGUAACCUGCCUGUAAGACUGGGAUAACUCCGGGAAACCGGGGCUAAUACCGGAUAAUUCAGUUCCUCGCAUGAGGAACUGUUGAAAGGUGGCUUCUGCUACCACUUACAGAUGGACCCGCGGCGCAAUAACUAGUUGGUGAGGUAACGGCUCACCAAGGGAACGAUGCGUAACCCAACUGAAAGGGUGAUCGGCCACACUGGGACUGAAACACGGCCCAAACUCCUACGGGAGGCAGCAGUAGGGAAUCUUCCGCAAUGGACGAAAGUCUGACGGAACAACGCCCCGUGGGUGAAGAAGGUUUUCGGAUCGUAAAACUCUGUUGGUAGGGAAGAACAAGUGGCGUUCGAAUAGGGCGGCACCUUGACGGUACCUAACCAGAAAGCCACGGCUAACUACGUGCCAGCAGCCGCGGUAAUACGUAAGUGGCAAGCGUUGUCCGGAAUUAUUGGGCGUAAAGCGCGCGCAGGUGGUUUC
Molecule: ribosomal RNA, 539 nt
Filed under: Bacillus sp. (in: firmicutes)
Lineage: Bacteria; Bacillati; Bacillota; Bacilli; Caryophanales; Bacillaceae
Description: bacterial SSU rRNA
Rfam family: Bacterial small subunit ribosomal RNA
Source: RNAcentral